UAAUACUUAGGGUGCGAGCGUUAAUCGGAAUUACUGGGCGUAAAGCGAGUGUAGGCGGCUACCUAAGUCGGAUGUGAAAGCCCCGGGCUCAACCUGGGAAUUGCAUUCGAAACUGAGUAGCUAGAGUUUGGUAGAGGUGAGUGGAAUUCCGGGUGUAGCGGUGAAAUGCGUAGAUAUCCGGAGGAACAUCAGUGGCGAAGGCGGCUCACUGGACCAAAACUGACGCUGAGGCUCGAAAGCGUGGGGAGCAAACAGGAUUAGAUACCCUGGUAGUCCACGCCCUAAACGAUGUCAACUAGUCGUUGGGCUCAUUAAGGAGCUUAGUGACGCAGCUAACGCGUUAAGUUGACCGCCUGGGGAGUACGGCCGCAAGGUUG
This 377-nucleotide ribosomal RNA is filed under the name uncultured Gammaproteobacteria bacterium. RNAcentral's name for it is "bacterial SSU rRNA". It matches the Rfam family "Bacterial small subunit ribosomal RNA", at positions 521 to 896 of the family's 1533-position model. The record is from RNAcentral. Lineage: Bacteria; Pseudomonadati; Pseudomonadota; Gammaproteobacteria.